Long non-coding RNA from Alexandromys fortis (reed vole), 5671 nucleotides. RefSeq lists it as uncharacterized. The record is from RefSeq and is a predicted model, not a curated record. NCBI's taxonomy places the organism in Eukaryota, Metazoa, Chordata, Mammalia, Rodentia, Cricetidae. The transcript has 3 exons.
GUUGUGUUUGCGGCCACACAACAAAUGACCCCAAAAUUCAGCAAUUUGUGUUCAUGUGUGUGCAGGAGUACAUGCGUGUGGAGGCCAGAUGUCAGGUGUCUCUCACCCUGGAGCCUGCUGAUUCAUGCUAGACUGAGCUCCAGGAAUCCUCCUGUCUCAACCUCACAAGCUCUGGAAUUACAGUCACAAGCCACUGUGCCAAGAUCUUUAACAUGGGUACUGGGGAGUAGAACUCAGAACCUUGUGCUUGUGAGGCCAGUGAGCCACCUCCCUGCCCCAAGCUCAGUAUCUUAAGGCCAUUGAGUUGUUAUUGCUCAUGGGUUUUAUGGGUCAAGAAUUGAGAAAGCUUAGCAUAGAGAGAGUCUGGCUGUUUAAUUUUUGAGAUUUUUUUUUUUAAAGUGGUGAUUUGAGUCAGGGUCUCACUAUGUAGUUCUGGCUGUCCUAAAACUCAGUAUGUAGACCAAACUCACAAAUCUCUGCCUCUCAAGUGCUGAGAUUAAAAGUGUGUAUCAAUCACUACAUCAGGCCAUGAUUUUACUUAUUUUUAUUUUAUAUGCCUAUAUGUAUAUGCAUGCAUGCCCACAGGGGCCAGAGAGGGCACUGGAUCCUCUGGAACUGGAAUUACAGAUGGUCCCAAGGCACCCUGUGAGUUCUGGAAACUGAACCCAGGUCCUCUUGUUUAAUACUGCUAUCACUUGACACAGGCUGAGCCAGUGCUGGAUCGUGGGACUACAUCUCUAUCCACAACACCUGACCCCUUGUUUAAAUGUUGUAGAUAGAAUCGUGCUGCAUUGCCCAGGUUAGCCUUGAACUCACUCUGAAGCCUGGACUGGCUAGAACUCGCAACACUCCAACUUCAGCUUCCCAAGUGCUCAGAUAACAGUCAGCCGCAGAGAACCCAUGAUGCCCAGCUGCCCUGGAGGUCCGAGGUCCACAGUUUGUGAGACUGGAAAUCGCAGCAUCCUCAGGCCACACAUCCACCACCAGCUAGGAAGGAGGACCACUGGAUUCCAUAAUCUGGUGUCCCCUGCUUCUCCCUCUUUUUGAGUACAUAUGUGUGUUUAUUCUUUUUCUUCAUUGAAAUGUAUCACACUUGUGGUGGGGGACCCGUAUGGCAUAGCACAUACACAAAGGUCAGAGGAGAACUCGUCAAUUCUGUCCUUCUGCCCUGUGAGUUCUGGGAGUGGAACUCAGGCCCUCAGACUUGUCAACAGGCUACCCACUGAGCUAUCUCGACAGCCCUUAAUUGUUUUAUGUAUUGGCGUAUUCGCUUAGUAACAGGGUCUCAUGUAUCUCAGGCACCCUUGGACUCUCUAUGCACCAUGUAGCUGAAGGUGACUUUGAACUCCAAUCCAGACAAAAAGAGCAACAGUGGACCCAAGAAAUUACUCCAAGUCCAGCAUGGUGAACCAGUGGGGAGACUCAGAAGCAGCUGCAGUACCAGAAAGUCCCACAGAGGGAGGGAUGAUGCAGGGAGGCUGUGCCGCUGGGGUCCUCUGUGCAGGCACCUCGCAGGCGGCUGUUCUUAGGACUGUCCUCCCUCCGGCUCCCAGCUACUGCUUAUGUGACUUGUGAAUCUGCAAAGAUACCUCGAGCUUCGUGAGCCUCUCGAGCCUUCUUCCCACCCUGGACUAGAGAAGCACCUGCACCACAAACAGAAGUUUCUUCUGUGUGUAGAGGCCAGAGGUCAAUGCCAAACGUCUUCCUUAGUUGCCUUUCACCUGUUCUGAUGGCUGUCACUGAGCCUGAAGCUCACUGAUUUGGCUAGCAAGCACCAGGGAUCUCCUGUCUCCACCUCUGCAGUGCUAAGAAUGUGACCUUGACCAUUGCCGUGUUCACCAUCCUAGCCUCCAUCUACUUCUUCAACAAGGCUCAGCAGUGAGAAGGCACGGCUCCCCAGCCCACCAACCCGGCCUCGCAGCAGUGAGAAGCCAUGGCUCCCCAGCCCACCAACCUGACCUCUACCUGUUCUACCAUCGCUCUGGCCUCUGAGAUCUAAUAAAUGUAACAGCAUCAGAUCAAGGCUCCCUACUUCCUAAGUCCUACUCCCCACAGGUCCAGGGACUGCAAUAGUCAGCCAAAACCUCAGUAGGAAGAAGAAAAGUAGAGACCUGGCCCCUAGAUCUGAGUGAGGAGGCUGGGCCCUGGACCUCUGAGUCUGAGGGAGGAGGUUGGGCCCUGGACCUCUGAGUCUGAGGGAGGAGUCUGAGCCCUGGACCUCUGAGUCUGAGGGAGGAGACUGGGCCCUGGACCUUUGUGUCUGAGGGAGGAGGCUGGAGCUUGUAACCCUAGGUCUGAAGGAAUAGGGCUGGAUCCUGGACCCCUGGGUCUAAAGGGGAAGUUCUGGGAACUGAGGCAGGAGUGACAAUGACCUGUGUUCUCUAGUUGGAGGACAGGGUCCAGCAUCUGAUCUGGUUUUGGGGAGUGAGCAGGAGUCUUUAGGGCACAUGGGUAUCUGGAGGGCUUUUCAGCUCUGAGGCUGAGAGCACAGAAGAACUUCCAGGGUCCGAGUCUCUACCUGGAACCAAACAACUUGUUCAGGACUUAAAACUUAUCACUUCUCUUUGAGGACUCCUGCCAGCCAAAGGUGGAAAUCUGUUUAACAGGAGAUCACGCUAAGGAUUAAUGACGAUCAGAGGUAUGAGCAGAAGUUGUGACUGCAGCAGAGUCAGUCUAGGUGGACAUAAUUCCUCUUAGUUAUCUUAAGGAAUACUGACUCUUCUCUUUUCUUAGCAAACUCCUAUUCAACAGUUACCACCUGCCAUCAAAUCCCUUUCUUAUAUGAGUGAUCAGAACCCCAAACAGGGGAUCUGUUAGCCCACAAUCUCCUUCCUGCCAGCUUCUCCAACCUCUCCAAGUAAAUGCCCUGAGGAACACACCUGUCCAAGCAAAUUCAUUUCCACCCAGUGUCCGAGGCAGUGGCUUCUGAACACGGUAUUCACUGGGUUUCAGGAUAAGGACUAGAAAUUUCCUAUCACAAACAGAUUUGUGCUUCUAGUUAGCUCAGAUCGGUGCGAUUUUAGUGAGUUUCAAGCUCUUGGGACCAAGCGGCACUGACGAUUGCGCUCUCUGCUGACUAGAGCCUAUAACAGCACUCUGUACUCAAAUGCAGUGACUGCAGAAUCAGAAAUAGCCGCAUGGUGGCGAUGUCGGACUAUCGUCCCAGAUUCUAAUUGGCCUCAUGCCUGGGCUCUCUCCAAAGGCUCUUCCCAAACCUCCACCACCUCCUGUCAGUCGGGUGGCCUGUCUCCAACCUAAGACCAUCCAGCACCUCCCCCACCAGGCGCCUCUGCUAUAUCCUUAGCCCCAUAACUCAAAAAUGGUUGAGCAGCUACACCCUGUGGCUUUUCACACGCCAUGCCCCACACAGGGCCCUUCACAUCUAUUUUGCACAUCCUCCUCUGAAAGCAUUCCUUCCUGCCUCACCUCAAUCCCCAGGUGGGCUUGACUGCCAGUGGUUUUUCAACAGCUUACCCAAGUCAACCUUUACUUCCUCUAUAUCCCUCCUCCCCACCAGGGCUUGACAGUUUAUGAGGUUUCUGUGUCCUCAGGGAGCUAUCAGCUUAGCAUUUUCUCAACCGCGUUUCUCAACCGCAGUCCGGUGGAGAUGGAUGCGUCUCAGCUUGGCUGGGUGAAGAGCCACGGAGGGCUUCGUCAAUUCCCACCACUGAGCUUGGGGUGGGAUGGAGCAUCGAAUUCUGCCCUGAAUGCUCCCCAGGGUGCUGUGGAUGGGCAGUCGGGGUUCUGAAGCUGUCAUUAUUGGGAGGAAACUGAGUGCUUCCAAGAGGUAGCUCUGCUGCCUGAGAAAUUAUUUUUAAAAAAGUUUAUUAGUUUUUAUGCAUACAGUCUUCUGCCUACAUGUAUGUCUACAGGCCAGACAGGUGCUCCAGAUCGUAUUACAGAUGGCUGUGGGCCUCCGUGUGGUUGCUGGGAAUUAAGGAAUUCUUUAAGAGACCUCGACUCAGAUAAAGAUGGAACUUUUUUUUUUAAUUAUCACUAUUUUAUUUCUAAAAAUAAAUAUUUGCUAUGUAUCAGGAUUGCACUGUAUGGUUUAAAGAUUAUAAUUUAAUUAAUCGGUUAUCUCUGAGUCAGGGUAGCUGGAACUUCCUAUAUAAACCUCAUCUGCCCACCCCUACUGGGAUAGAAGGGUGAGCCACCACUCCUGGCUUUUAUUUUUAAAUUGCAUGCAUGUGUGGAGUGUUGUGUGUGUAAAUGCAUGUAUGGGGGUGUCCAUGGAGGCCAAAAGAAGGUGUCAGAUUCCCUGAAGCUGGAGUAAUGGGCUGCCAACUGCCAGACCUGAGUGCUGGGGAAGUAACUCUUAGCUCGGGUCCUCUGCAAAAGCAGCAGGUGCUCCCGCGGGGCAGCCUUGAGAAGCUAAGUCUGGGCAGAUCACCCAAAGGAAGUUCUUUACUUCCAGCCAUUAUCACCUGCCAGAGUAGGACUCAGCCAUAGAUAAAUUUAAUAAAAGGUCUGAGUCUCAGUAGUUUACCCUGAGGCAAUGCCUGGUUACAGGAGGAACCACAAGCUGAGAUUACCCGACCUCCACCCAAGAACAGACCAUCCAAAGGAAAUGCCUGGCAUUCUAACCGCCAUAGAUGGGAACACCUGCCAAAACACAUUCACCAGGACAUCCCUAGACAAAUGUCAGUCAAUCAAGAGUCCUGAACCUCAGAGACCACUCACUCCCACCUUUACUACUAUAAAACCCUAUUUUAAUUGAGCUCAGGGCUCUUUUAUUCCAAUACAUUGAACACGCCGAGAGACGGGGUUUGCCUUAGCCAUGGUGUCUUGUCACAGCGAUGAAACAGUAACUUAGACAGGUGUCUUUGCGUUGUCCCUGUGUAUACCAGAGUAAAUAAAAUUUAUUUUAAAAUUAAAUUAAGAUUAAAAUAAAGGCUCUUUGCUUUUACAUACGGGACUUGGUCUCCUUGUUGGCUUUUGCGGGGACUUUGCGGAUUUGGGCAUAACACUCCUAACCACUGAGCCAUCCCUCCGGCCUCGUGAGUCAGUGUGAAACCGAGUUGGAAUUAAGAUCUUAGGACUGAAGAGAUGGCCCAGUGGUUAAGAGCAAACGGCCUGCGUAGGAUUCCCAGGAAACACGGCAAUCUCCUGUGAUUCCAGUGUUGGGAUUUGAUGCUUCUGGGUCACUGCACACGUGAUGUGCAUGACAUCAUACAGACAAAACACACACAGAAAAUGUCAAAAGUGAAUCUCUUUUAAAAAGUGUAGGGCUGAGGACAUGGCUCAGUGCUUGCUAAGUAAAAUGAGGACCCUUGUCUGACAUUCCAAAACCCACAUGAAGCAGGUGUGGAAGCAAGAAGCUGGGAUCAGGGCACCUCAGUGCCCAGAGGGAAGGUGAACACAAGAGAACCCCCGACACUCCAAGGGCAGUCACUCUGGUAUACCCAGUGACAACGCAAAGACACCAGUUUCACAGGGUUGGCCCAAGCUCAUCGUGGCAGGGAGUACAGGUGGCUGUGGUGCUGGGGAAGCAGCAGAAAGCUUCCAUCCUGAUCCACAGACAGAGGCCGCAGACAGAGAGAGGCUCAUAGGGCCCGCUGUGGGCUUUCGAAACCUCAAAACCCAUCCCAAGUGACUUCCUCCAACAAGACCAUGCCUCCUCUUCCUCCUAAUUCUCAAAUAGUGCCACUCCCUGGUGACUAAACAUUCA